ACAAUAAGCAAAAUAAGGGCGUAUGGGGGAUGCCUAGGCUCUCAGAGGCGAAGAAGGACGUGAUAAGCUGCGAAAAGCUGCGGGGAUUGGCACAUACGAAUUGAUCCGCAGAUAUCCCAAUGGGGCAACCCACUAUGUUGAAGACAUAGUAUCCAAUAGGAGGCGAACCCGCUGAACUGAAACAUCUAAGUAGGCGGAGGAGAAGAAAACAAAAGUGAUUGCGUAAGUAGUGGCGAGCGAAAGCGCAUUAGCCCAAACCAGUGUUGUUACGGCAAUACUGGGGUUGUAGGACCACAAUAUUUCUUGUAAACCGAAUUAGAAUAACCUGGAAAGGUUAACCACAGAGGGUGAUAGUCCCGUAUAAGUAAGGAAUAUAAAGGAUAGUGGUAUCCUGAGUAGGGCGGGGCACGUGAAACCCUGUCUGAAUCUGGCGGGACCAUCCGCUAAGGCUAAAUACUCCUGAGAGACCGAUAGUGAACCAGUACUGUGAAGGAAAGGUGAAAAGAACCGUGAAUAACGGAGUGAAAUAGAACCUGAAACCAUACGCCUACAAGCGGUCGGAGCAGCAAAAGCUGUGACGGCGUGCCUUUUGCAUAAUGAGCCUACGAGUUAACGUUGCUGGCAAGGUUAAGCACUUCAGGUGCGGAUCCGUAGCGAAAGCGAGUCUGAAUAGGGCGCUUGAGUCAGUAAUGUUAGACGCGAAACCGUGUGAUCUACCCAUGGGCAGGAUGAAGCUGUGGUAACACAUAGUGGAGGUCCGAACCGGUUGACGUUGAAAAGUCUUCGGAUGACCUGUGGGUAAGGUUGAAAGGCCAAUCAAACUCGGAAAUAGCYCGUACUCCCCGAAAUGCAUUUAGGUGCAGCGCAGUGGUAGAGUUAUAUAGAGGUAGAGCUACUGAUUGGAUGCGGGGGCUUCACCGCCUACCAAUUCCUGACAAACUCCGAAUGCUAUAUAAUAUACACAGCAGUGAGGGCUGGGGUGCUAAGGUCCCAGUCCGAGAGGGAAAGAACCCAGACCAUCAGCUAAGGUCCCCAAAUGUAUACUAAGUUGAUCAAACGCGGUUUGAUUGCAUCGACAGCUAGGAUGUUGGCUUGGAAGCAGCCAUUCAUUUAAAGAGUGCGUAACAGCUCACUAGUCGAGCGAUCGAGCAUGGAUAAUAAUCGGGCAUAAGUAUACUACCGAAGCUAUGGAUUUGACAAAAGUCAAGUGGUAGGGGAGCAUUCUAACAUCGUAGAAGGGAUUCCGUGAGGAUUUCUGGAGAGGUUAGAAAAGAAAAUGUAGGCAUAAGUAACGAUAAGGGGUGCGAGAAACACCCCCGCCGUAAAACUAAGGUUUCCGCAGCUAUGCUAAUCAGCUGCGUAUCGGAUAGUGUACCUAAAGGCUGCCAAGAAAACCUUCUAAACAUAGAUUAUAAGUACCCGUACCGUAAACCGACACAGGUAGUUGAGGAGAGUAUCCUAAGGCGCUCGAGAGAUUCAUGGCUAAGGAAUUAGGCAAAAUAGACCUGGGAGAAAGGUCGCCAGCGCAAGCUGGCCGCAGUGAAAAGGUCCAGGCGACUGUUUAUCAAAAACACAGGGCUCUGCCAAAUCGUAAGAUGAAGUAUAGGGCCUGACACCUGCCGGGUUAAGAGGAGAUGUUAUGAGCAAUCAGAAGCAUUGAAUUGAAGCCCCAGUAAACGGCGGCCGUAACUAUAACGGUCCUAAGGUAGCGAAAUUCCUUGUCGGGUAAGUUCCGACCUGCACGAAUGGUGUAACGAUCUGGACACUGUCUCAGCCAUGAGCUCGGUGAAAUUGWAGUAUCGGUGAAGAUGCCGAUUACCCGCAGUGGGACGAAAAGACCCUGUGCACCUUUACUAUAGCUUAGUAUUGACCUUGGAUAAGUGAUGUGUAGGAUAGGUGGGAGACUGUGAAAUGGCGUCGCUAGGCGUUGUGGAGUCAUUGUUGAAAUACCACCCUUUGCUUAUCUGAGGCCUAACUCCAUAUUGUGGAGGACAUUGCUUGGUGGGUAGUUUGACUGGGGUGGUCGCCUCCAAAAGAGUAACGGAGGCUUCUAAAGGUUCCCUCAGCACGCUUGGUAACCGUGCGUAGAGUGCAAUGGCAUAAGGGAGCUUGACUGAGAGACAUACAGGUCGAUCAGGUACGAAAGUAGAGCAUAGUGAUCCGGUGGUUCCGCAUGGAAGGGCCAUCGCUCAAAGGAUAAAAGGUACGCCGGGGAUAACAGGCUGAUCUCCCCCAAGAGCUCAUAUCGACGGGGGGGUUUGGCACCUCGAUGUCGGCUCGUCACAUCCUGGGGCUGGAGAAGGUCCCAAGGGUUGGGCUGUUCGCCCAUUAAAGUGGCACGCGAGCUGGGUUCAGAACGUCGUGAGACAGUUCGGUCUCUAUCUACUGUGGGCGUUAGAAAUUUGAGUGGAUCUGACUCUAGUACGAGAGGACCGAGUUGGACCAACCGCUGGUGUAUCUGUUGUUCCGCCAGGAGCACCGCAGAGUAGCUACGUUGGGAAGGGAUAAGCGCUGAAAGCAUAUAAGCGCGAAACCCACCACAAGAUGAGAUUUCUUUUAAGGGUCGUGGAAGAUGACCACGUUGAUAGGCUAUAGAUGUAAAGGCAGUAAUGUCACAGUCAAGUAGUACUAAUAACCCGUAAGCUUAUUGUA
RNAcentral lists this ribosomal RNA (2652 nucleotides) under Flavobacterium columnare. RNAcentral's name for it is "23S ribosomal RNA". The record is from RNAcentral. Lineage: Bacteria; Pseudomonadati; Bacteroidota; Flavobacteriia; Flavobacteriales; Flavobacteriaceae.